UACGUAGGGGUCGAGCGUUGUCCGGAGUUACUGGGCGUAAAGCGUGUGCAGGCGGCUCAUUGCGCCCGGCGUGAAAGCCCCCGGCUCAACCGGGGAGAGUCGUCGGGGACGGGUGAGCUUGAGGGUAUCAGGGGCUGGUGGAAUUCCCGGUGUAGAGGUGAAAUUCGUAGAUAUCGGGAGGAACACCAGUGGCGAAGGCGGCUCUCUGGACAGGUACUGACGCUGAGACGCGAAAGCGUGGGUAGCAAACAGG
Molecule: ribosomal RNA, 253 nt
Filed under: uncultured bacterium
Lineage: Bacteria
Description: partial 16S ribosomal RNA
Rfam family: Bacterial small subunit ribosomal RNA
Source: RNAcentral